GUGCCAGCCGCUGCGGUAAUACGUAGGGCGCAAGCGUUGUCCGGAAUUAUUGGGCGUAAAGAGCUCGUAGGCGGUUUGUCGCGUCUGCUGUGAAAACCCGAGGCUCAACCUCGGGCCUGCAGUGGGUACGGGCAGACUAGAGUGCGGUAGGGGAGACUGGAACUCCUGGUGUAGCGGUGGAAUGCGCAGAUAUCAGGAAGAACACCAAUGGCGAAGGCAGGUCUCUGGGCCGUAACUGACGCUGAGGAGCGAAAGCAUGGGGAGCGAACAGGAUUAGAUACCCUGGUAGUCCAUGCCGUAAACGUUGGCGCUAGACGUGGGGACCUUUCCACGGCUUCCGUGUCGUAGCUAACGCAUUAAGCGCCCGCCUGGGGAGUACGGCCGCAAGGCUAAAACUCAAAGGAAUUGACGGGGCCCGCACAAGCGGCGGAGCAUGCGGAUUAAUUCGAUGCAACGCGAAGAACCUUACCAAGGCUUGACAUAUAGAGGAAACGGCUAGAGAUAGUCGCCCCGCAAGGUCUC
RNAcentral lists this ribosomal RNA (522 nucleotides) under uncultured Pseudoclavibacter sp. Its description in RNAcentral is "bacterial SSU rRNA". It matches the Rfam family "Bacterial small subunit ribosomal RNA", at positions 505 to 1030 of the family's 1533-position model. Lineage: Bacteria; Bacillati; Actinomycetota; Actinomycetes; Micrococcales; Microbacteriaceae. The record is from RNAcentral.